AUGCGUUAUUUUCCCUGUUUAUAUUUCAUGCGUUGGCGUUCUUCCAUUGUUGUUAAUACCUAUAACGUAGAUACUAUGCGUGUGCAUGCCCUUCCGUGGGUUCUUAAUGCCAAACUAGGCCCAGCUGUCGUAGUUGAUCCUCAGUUCUUGCAUAGCCAAUUUUUUGCCGGGUUGCUUUUGAGUGACGGCCACCUCUAUAAGACUUACAAAGUCACUCACAAUUCCGCCUUCAGCCUCGAGAUGAAGUGGGGUGAUCCUGGUUUGUCUAUGGUAGUUUCCACUUUUACCCUACUAAAGUCUGCCGGUCUUGCCACUGGUAACUUCGUAGAGCGUAAACGUACCGCAGAGGUUAAACCUAACGUUGAGCAAAGUUACGGUGUGGCUUAUGGAUACUCCCUGCGCCAUGCCCUUUUCACCGACCUGCGUCACAUUUGGUACCCAAAUGGAUACAAGAUCGUACCGGGUUGCGUAAAAGACUACCUGUCUCCUGUCUGCCUCUACACUUGGUUUGCUGGUGACGGCAAUGCGCGUGGCGCCGGAGUCGAGUUUAACACUCAAAGCUUCCAACAUGACGAUGUUCUAUUUUUGGCUGAUAUUCUUCUGACUAAGUAUCAACUUCAAUCCGAGAUUCAAACCGAGGGUAAAGGUUACGUUAUCGUACUUAAACAGAAAGCCGCUCGUCAGUUCGCUGGCUUGAUUCAUACAUUGGUGCCGACCUGUUAUAGUUACAAAUUGAAACACCUACGUAACUAGAACUAGCCCACCACCUUAGGCACAGGCAAACUAACAUGCUCAACCUUAGUUGUUAUUUUUCAUUUUAAACAUACCGUACUGCAAACCGACUCAGGUGGGCUAGUAUAUGUACUCAGGCCAUAGAAUCAACCAUGUUAAAGUAACUCGGCAAAAUGCACGCGUGACCUCGGAGGAAGCGUGGCUAAAAAGACUCAGCAAAUAGCCGACAGCGACUGUUUACCAAAAACACAGGAUAGUGCUAACAGACGUAAAUUAAGCUGCAAAAAGCGGUUUUAUUUUUGGAUGUAUACUAUCCGACGCCUGCCCAAAGGUGAAGAAAAACGGCGGCAGUAACUCUAACUGUCCUAAGGUAGCGAAAUUCCUUGACGUUUAAUUGGCGUCCUUGCAUGAAUGGCUGAACGACUGUCGGGCUGUCUCUAACAUGGAAUCUGUGAAUUUGAAAUCUUCGUGCAGAUGCGAAGGCGCUGGCAAGGGACGAAGAGACCCUAUGCAGCUUCGCUGGGUGCUAAGAGUUGGUCGUGAAUUGUUGUAGUGGGUUGGAAACUGACAGGUUCAAUACCUGAUUACCACGUACUUCUAGACAUUUACUCUUAUCCUCAAGCUUUUCUGGGACGGAUGCUUCCUGAAUAGUAACGGGAGUGAUCAAUGGUACUGCUAACGACUUAAAUAGAAAGCAGUGCUUGACUGUAAGAACCACAGUUCGAGCAGGGACGCAAGUCGGCAUUAAUGACCCAGGGUAACAUUUUAUC
Molecule: ribosomal RNA, 1502 nt
Filed under: Chlamydomonas reinhardtii
Lineage: Eukaryota; Viridiplantae; Chlorophyta; Chlorophyceae; Chlamydomonadales; Chlamydomonadaceae
Description: large subunit ribosomal RNA
Rfam family: Bacterial large subunit ribosomal RNA
Source: RNAcentral